This 438-nucleotide ribosomal RNA is filed under the name uncultured Candidatus Saccharibacteria bacterium. RNAcentral describes it as "bacterial SSU rRNA". It matches the Rfam family "Bacterial small subunit ribosomal RNA", at positions 992 to 1444 of the family's 1533-position model. The record is from RNAcentral. Lineage: Bacteria; Candidatus Saccharimonadota.
AUAGCAGUUCAUCGAAAGAAGAACCUCAUUUAGUUGGAUCGGUGACAGGUGAUGCAUGGCCGUCGUCAGCUCGUGUCGUGAGAUGUAUGGUUAAGUCCAUUAACGAGCGCAACCCUUAUGUUUAGUUGGAUUUUUCUAAACAGACUGCCCUGGCAACAGGGAGGAGGGAGGGGAUGACGUCAGGUCAGUAUUUCCCUUACGUCUUGGGCUACAAACACGCUACAAUGGCCGGUACAAAGGGCAGCAAACCCGCGAGGGGGAGCAAAUCUCAUCAAAACCGGUCUCAGUUCGGAUUGCAGGCUGAAACUCGCCUGCAUGAAGCUGGAAUCGCUAGUAACGGUAGGUCAGCACACUACCGUGAAUACGUUCCCGGGUCUUGUACACACCGCCCGUCAAACCAUGAAAGUGGCCAACACCCAAAGUCUGAGCUUGCCUCAG